This 405-nucleotide ribosomal RNA is filed under the name uncultured bacterium. RNAcentral describes it as "bacterial SSU rRNA". It matches the Rfam family "Bacterial small subunit ribosomal RNA", at positions 370 to 772 of the family's 1533-position model. The record is from RNAcentral.
AAUGGACGCAAGUCUGAACCAGCCAUGCCGCGUGCAGGAUGACGGCCCUAUGGGUUGUAAACUGCUUUUAUACGGGAAGAACCCCCCUUACGUGUAAGGGACUGACGGUACCGUAUGAAUAAGCAUCGGCUAACUCCGUGCCAGCAGCCGCGGUAAUACGGAGGAUGCAAGCGUUAUCCGGAUUUAUUGGGUUUAAAGGGUGCGCAGGCGGGACAUUAAGUCAGUGGUGAAAGCCCCCAGCUCAACUGGGGAAAUGCCAUUGAUACUGAUAUCCUAGAGUACAGUUGGGGUAGGCGGAAUGUGUCAUGUAGCGGUGAAAUGCUUAGAUAUGACACAGAACACCGAUCGCGAAGGCAGCUUACCAAGUUGUAACUGACGCUCAUGCACGAAAGCGUGGGGAUCAAA